GUGCUUCAGCAAUCACUUCCAGGUACAACGGCGUGAUAGAUGGUUUGCCGAAAGGAUGGUGAGGAGUUUUCAGUGAUUCAGAAACGGCGUUAAACCUUGAUUGUAUCUAUGCUCCGGUUCAAUGUGUUAGUCGCUUGGAUUCUGCAAGGGGAAGCAGAACCAUGUGGUCGAUCCUUGGGCAACAAGAGGCUUCAUCCACACAUGAUGAUGUGAGCUCUGAAGACGGGUUGGAACCAGCCUGCAGUGCGUCCGUGUGGACGGAAGCAUUGCCCUUUCGUUGCCUGUGUGUUAUAGUACGAGGUUGUUCAGUUUUUCUCACGUUUUAUUAAAUACUCUUGCUAUGUGUAGGGUUACCUGUUGACUCCAUGUUCGAGAGGACAGUUCAGGCUUUUGAACUCCUCGCAAUGCAUUUUGAUUACCUGCCUAGGGUACCUUUCACAGCAAGACUACACUUAUCAGAAUGCAUUGCGAUGUGAGUUGACACGCCUGAAUUGUCCUCGUGUAGUCCUGUGGUAACCCUAGCUAUUUAUAACAUGUAAUACAAUGUAAAUACAUAUUUAAGUUUUAUACAGAAGCUUGUAGGAUUUGUUGUAUGUUUGUUUACCACGGACUUGCGCCACACUACGUGAAGUGCGUUCAGUAUAGUUCUGGAAAUAAAUGUAUUGAGGCAAAUAGACAAA
Acipenser ruthenus (sterlet) is the source of this 680-nucleotide long non-coding RNA. RefSeq lists it as uncharacterized. The record is from RefSeq and is a predicted model, not a curated record. The transcript is spliced from 3 exons. NCBI's taxonomy places the organism in Eukaryota, Metazoa, Chordata, Actinopteri, Acipenseriformes, Acipenseridae.